Molecule: transfer RNA, 73 nt
Filed under: Cladonia subulata
Lineage: Eukaryota; Fungi; Ascomycota; Lecanoromycetes; Lecanorales; Cladoniaceae
Description: tRNA-Arg
Rfam family: tRNA
About the family: Transfer RNA (tRNA) molecules are approximately 80 nucleotides in length. Their secondary structure includes four short double-helical elements and three loops (D, anti-codon, and T loops).
Source: RNAcentral
GAGACUUUAGUUUAAAAGGUAGAAUUUAUGACCCUUAAUCAUCAAUAUGUGGGUUCAAAUCCCACAGGUCUUA